UACGUAGGGUGCGAGCGUUGUCCGGAAUUAUUGGGCGUAAAGAGCUUGUAGGCUGUUUGUCGCGUCUGCCGUGAAAAUUCGAGGCUCAACCUCGAACUUGCGGUGGGUACGGGCAGACUAGAGUGCGGUAGGGGAGAUUGGAAUUCCUGGUGUAGCGGUGGAAUGCGCAGAUAUCAGGAGGAACACCGAUGGCGAAGGCAGAUCUCUGGGCCGUAACUGACGCUGAGGAGCGAAAGCAUGGGGAGCGAACAGG
Molecule: ribosomal RNA, 253 nt
Filed under: uncultured bacterium
Lineage: Bacteria
Description: partial 16S ribosomal RNA
Rfam family: Bacterial small subunit ribosomal RNA
Source: RNAcentral